This 407-nucleotide ribosomal RNA is filed under the name uncultured bacterium. RNAcentral's name for it is "partial 16S ribosomal RNA". It matches the Rfam family "Bacterial small subunit ribosomal RNA", at positions 30 to 526 of the family's 1533-position model. The record is from RNAcentral.
AUUGAACGCUGGCGGCAGGCCUAACACAUGCAAGUCGAGCGGAGCGGCGGACGCGUAAGUAAUGCCUAGGAAUCGGCCUGGUAGUGGGGGAUAACGUCCGGAAACGGGCGCUAAUACCGAAUACUAGCAGUAGAGCCUAGGUCGGAUUAGCUAGUGGGAGGGGUAAAGGCCUACCAAGGCGACGAUGCGUAACUGGUCUGAGAGGAUGAUCAGUCACACUGGAACUGAGACACGGUCCAGACUCCUACGGGAGGCAGCAGUGGGGAAUAUUGGACAAUGGGCGCAAGCCUGAUCCAGCCAUGCCGCGUGUGUGAAGAAGGUCUUCGGAUUGUAAAGCACUUUAAGUUGGGAGGCGUUACCAACAGAAUAAGCACCGGCUAACUUCGUGCCAGCAGCCGCGGUAAUUC